Non-coding RNA from Oncorhynchus mykiss (rainbow trout), 1959 nucleotides. The record is from RefSeq and is a predicted model, not a curated record. NCBI's taxonomy places the organism in Eukaryota, Metazoa, Chordata, Actinopteri, Salmoniformes, Salmonidae.
AUAUAUAUAUAUAUACUGUACUGUGCACCUGUUGGUGGUUAAAUCUUAUCCAGCUAACAUCCUGUCUACCAUAACCUGCAGAACAGAAUAUCCAGCAACAAUAACCCUGCAGUCCAACCAUCUAAUGGGUAUAGGGGUGAAGUUGCCUUAGAUGCUGACCCUGGGUCAGUUUUUCCAUUUACCCCACUAAUGGUUAAGGUUAGGAUUGGGGAGGGGAAGCUGAUCCUAGAUCUGUACCUAGGGGAAACCUCACCCUAGAGCUAUCUAACAGUGGGUCACGCUUAUCCCUUUUUCUAGACUAUAUCCUAGCCUGGUUAAACCAGACUGAAUGCUGUGUUCACCAUGAGGGGAGUGCUCAGUCUAGUUUUAAUCAGGCUAAAAAUGCUCGUCUUUGACUAAUAUGCAAAUCGCUAUUGGUGGCCAUUUCGUCACGUUGGCUCCUGUCCUGUCGAUGAAACGUUUGUAAUAGAGAACCUCAUCUCAGAAUGACAUGCCUCUUCCUGGUUUCUGUCGCUGAUAUUCAUUUGUGGUGUAUUUUCCAUCCCCCAUUCUGACUGUCUAUCUUCAUCUGGGGGUUAAUAGUGCCCCUCUCCUAUCACAGCCUUAAAUGAAAAGCCUUAAGGCCAGUUUCCCAGACACAGAUUAGAGCUGCAAUGUGUAGCUUUUUUGGGUGACCUGACCAAAUUCACAUAGAAAUGUUGUAGAUCUGUUAUUUUCAUUGAAAGCAAGUCUAAGAAGGUGGUAGAUCUGUUAUUUUUCUAUGCUUCCUGUUUUAUAGUUGUGUUUUUUGGGGUCUUUUACUUUGGGUUUUGUACCAGCUUCAAAUCAGCUGAAAAUACAAUGUUUUUGGUUAUUGGACAAUAUAUUUCACAGCGGUUUAGAUGCUACGAUGAUUCUCUACACUAUACAUGCUUGCUUUCUCACAAGUUGAAAUUCGAAUUCAAGCAACCAGGAAAUGGCGGUGCGAUAUCUGCUCAGUGCAUCUUUUACGCCUAGUCUUGGACUCCAUGGAGAUUCUCCAUUCAGCAUGAUUUAGAAUCCAGCACUAGGCUUAAUCUGUGUCUGGGGAAACUGGUCCUAAAACUAUUCCACCUAUUCUAGAACUAUCAUUUGGAGUGCUUGCUCCCAUGGUCUAUGAUGUCACCCACCAUGUCACUCUGAGUUCUAUGUCAGCCUGUUGCUCUGUUCCCAACUAUUCCACCUAUUCUAGAACUAUCAUUUGGAGUGCUUGCUGACUCCCAUGGUCUAUGAUGUCACCCACCUCUACCAUGUCACUCUGAGUUCCAUGUCAGCCUGUUGCUCUGUCCCCAUAUAUACAGGUCUGGAACUAAGCAUUGCUCUAUGUCAGCCUGUUGCUAUGUCCCCAUAUAUACAGGUCUGGAACUAAGCAUUGCUCUAUGUCAGCCUGUUGCUCUGUCCCCAUAUAUACAGGUCUGGAACUAAGCAUUGUAACUCUGCCUAACAACACAUUGGUACAUACCAACGUCUGGCAUUAUUACAGUUCUAUUUAUUUCAGAUGUCUAUAUGGCAUGUUUAAAAUGAAGAACCUGAGUUUUACUAUUGUACAUCCGUCCAAGAUCACAUAUCAUGAUGUACAAUUAGUUGUCCAGUCUGUUGGAUAAAAUGAAAUAAAGAUAUUGAAAAAUAAGUGCUGAAACUCUGUUUGUCCAUCAGUCAUGAUGCAGCUUUAUAAAUCUCAUGAGAAAGUGAACCUAAAGGUAAUGCUUUCCUGACGUGUUGGUUUGAGAGGAUAGAAGACCCAUAUUAUAGGAGUUAGCCUCCCGCUGUGAUUGGCUACAAACACACGACGCUGUCACUUUCCAGAUGGACACACCCCCAACACACAUACUGUACAGAUCCGCUAAACACACGGGGACAAUUGCAACCCAAAAAUAUAUAAAGGGGAAUGUCCAGAAUACGGUUGUCACAGUUAUCAAAUAAAAUGUUAUUGUAAACAGG